RNAcentral lists this ribosomal RNA (465 nucleotides) under Vreelandella stevensii. RNAcentral describes it as "partial 16S ribosomal RNA". It matches the Rfam family "Bacterial small subunit ribosomal RNA", at positions 338 to 795 of the family's 1533-position model. The record is from RNAcentral. Lineage: Bacteria; Pseudomonadati; Pseudomonadota; Gammaproteobacteria; Oceanospirillales; Halomonadaceae.
CCUACGGGAGGCAGCAGUGGGGAAUAUUGGACAAUGGGCGAAAGCCUGAUCCAGCCAUGCCGCGUGUGUGAAGAAGGCCUUCGGGUUGUAAAGCACUUUCAGUGGGGAAGAAAGCCUUGGGGCUAAUACCCUCGAGGAAGGACAUCACCCACAGAAGAAGCACCGGCUAACUCCGUGCCAGCAGCCGCGGUAAUACGGAGGGUGUGAGCGUUAAUCGGAAUUACUGGGCGUAAAGCGCGCGUAGGCGGUCUGAUAAGCCGGUUGUGAAAGCCCCGGGCUCAACCUGGGAACGGCAUCCGGAACUGUCAGGCUAGAGUGCAGGAGAGGAAGGUAGAAUUCCCGGUGUAGCGGUGAAAUGCGUAGAGAUCGGGAGGAAUACCAGUGGCGAAGGCGGCCUUCUGGACUGACACUGACGCUGAGGUGCGAAAGCGUGGGUAGCAAACAGGAUUAGAUACCCGGGUAGUC